Molecule: long non-coding RNA, 1293 nt
Organism: Onychomys torridus (southern grasshopper mouse)
Lineage: Eukaryota; Metazoa; Chordata; Mammalia; Rodentia; Cricetidae
Exons: 3
Source: RefSeq, a predicted model, not a curated record
UUUUUUUUUUUUAUGAGUGAAGGGACUAGUCACAGUGGUGUGUUCAGGGUUAAGGGAACCACAGCAAGAUCCAACGCCAUAUCCAGACCUGAAGGAGCUGGUGUUGCAGGGACACAAACAGCUGCAGUCUUGGAAGCAGUGGCGAUGUCCAGAGGACUUGUGGUUUUUGCGGAAGGAAACCAGAACCAAAGCAAUGUGGGCUGCCUGAGUGUCCUCAGAACAUGGCACCCAGACCCUCUGAAUGGUUGAUCUGAGAGGCCACGGUGGGAGCUGUAGUACGUUUUGUGGCUUACACUUGUAAGUCACACAGGACAGACAAGCUACAGAAGAUUGCUGACUCUCAGUUACUGAGACCAGGGAGACAAGAGCUCACAGUGCGAGAAGCAUGUCUUCAUGAGCACCAUGGAGUUACUCCAGUUGAUGGAUCCAAACACGGCGGCAGCCUCAGGGUCACACACCCAUCUAUCCGUGUAGGGAUAAGUUUCUCCUCGGUCCCCAAAGGCACACUGUAGAUGAACCACUUUGCAGGCACCAAGUGGGGAGAAACCAAUCCCUUAGGGUAUGAAGCAAUUUCCUUUGGGUGAGAGAGACAGUCUGGUAUCAAAAGGUACGACCUGAUGCCAUGGCCACAGAUUCAUUGCUGCACACCAGAGACAGAAGUCCUCGCCAGCAACCCUUCACCUCAACACCGUAUCCAGGAGCUUUGACGAUUGUCAUUACUAUUUUUAGCAGUGGUAAUAGUGGUGUGUGUAUGUGGGGGAUGGGGUACACAUGAGUGUGUACCUGCCCUAGUGCUUGUGUGGGUAUCAGAGGACAAUUCUGGGAGCUGGCUCUCUUCUGCUACCUUUAUGUGGGUUCCAGAGAUUGAGCUCAAGAUGGUUGGGCUUGCAUGGCAAGUGCUCUACCCACUGAGCCAUCUUGUUAGCCUAGAAGCUGUGAGUCUAAUCAAUACUAAACUUCAUCAUUUACUUAAUAUGAUAGUCUACUUAAUAUGAUAUGCCUACUGUGCUUUCUAGGUACUGGACCAUGUGGAGACGCUGGCUAGUCAGAAUAAACUCAUUGGGACUGGUAUCUCAAAUGUCUCCUCAAAGUCUGAUGUGUUGAAGGCUUGGUUCCAAGCUGAUGGGAAGUAGUUGGAUUAUGACAAUCCACCAAAAUGUGAACAAGGUGCAUGGCAGGCUCCUGCCUCCAGGCACUCAGCCACUUCAGCCGCCAUGUUUCCCCCAUGAAGAUGGACUGUGUCCCCAAUCAUAAGGCAAAAUAAAUCUCUCAUACCUUAAAUUGUUUCUGUCA